AAGAAAACUUUGCUCAUUUUCAUUCACUCCAACAGUUAUUGAUAAUUUUGAAACGUCAUAUCCUAUAGAAUGGAUUUCACAAAGUUCAUUUGUUGGAUAAGAUCAGACAUAACCCACCAGCGGAUUUUGAUCUAGGAAAAAUAGCUUUAUGUGUUCCUUAAGUUUCUCUCCCUGUCCUGGAAGGGGUAGGUCUUGUGUUGAAAUUGUUGUAGAAUUAUGAAAUUUGGAAAACAAAAAUGUUACGUUUCUUAACCACACUUAGUCUGACAUUUAGCUGAUGAUUUGGGUCAAGAUAUAUGUGGGCUAAAUUUUACUUUUCAUGUUGAUAUUCUUUUUUAUUUAUUUAUUUAUU
This 352-nucleotide unclassified non-coding RNA is filed under the name Hevea brasiliensis (rubber tree). The record is from RNAcentral. Lineage: Eukaryota; Viridiplantae; Streptophyta; Magnoliopsida; Malpighiales; Euphorbiaceae.